Molecule: ribosomal RNA, 449 nt
Filed under: uncultured bacterium
Lineage: Bacteria
Description: bacterial SSU rRNA
Rfam family: Bacterial small subunit ribosomal RNA
Source: RNAcentral
UGGGGAAUAUUGGGCAAUGGGCGAAAGCCUGACCCAGCAACGCCGCGUGAAGGAUGAAGUAUUUCGGUAUGUAAACUUCGAAAGAAUAGGAAGAAUAAAUGACGGUACCUCCCAAGAAAGCACCGGCUAACUCCGUGCCAGCAGCCGCGGUAAUACGGAGGGUGCGAGCGUUGCUCGGAAUCACUGGGCGUACAGGGAGCGUAGGCGGUUGGGUAAGCCCUCCGUGAAAUCUCCGGGCCUAACCCGGAAAGUGCAGAGGGGACUGCUCAGCUAGAGGAUGGGAGAGGAGCGCGGAAUUCCCGGUGUAGCGGUGAAAUGCGUAGAGAUCGGGAGGAAGGCCGGUGGCGAAGGCGGCGCUCUGGAACAUUUCUGACGCUGAGGCUCGAAAGCGUGGGGAGCAAACAGGAUUAGAUACCCCCGUAGUCCCUGAGCGGGCUGGCAAGGCGCAU